AUGGCAGGGUCGCCCCGACGACCGAGGACUUGGCGCCAGUCCCCCGCACCAGUAGAGGGCUGUAGUUCCUCGUUGCAAAAAGUCAGACACCAUUGCCCAGGCCAGGAACAAAGGAGUAGAAGAGGUAUCAGCUGCAAAGAUCUUCACUGGAGAGGUACUGCUGGAGGUGAGGAGGGAUGGAGGCCAAGGGGGCAGCCUUGUGUUCUACACUACUCUGCUCCAUCUAACUUUCCAGAGAAAAACAAAUUUUCAACUGCCAGAAAACUUGAUAAGGAAAUGUUACAAGAAAAGAAAUUAGUUGCCUAAAUUGUGUCACUUUUUUAGUAUUUCUUACACUAUAUAAAUCUCAAAAAUUCCCAAGUAGACAAGAAAUAAAAGUGAAGAAAAAUUAUGAACACUUUCGAUGUAUUUGAUGAGGAUAUGGAGUAGAAUUAGAAUUUAAAGUUUCUGAUGUAGUUCUUUUAUGUUACUUGUUCCUAAUGAAUUUUCCUUAAGGAAUAUUAGGUGGGGAAAACAGGUAUAUUUAAAGUAUCUAACUUUGUAUAAUAAUUGGUUCUUUCUUUCUUUCUUUCUUUCUUUCAAGGGUGAAGUUGGUGAGUCUUAAGCAGACUCCAUGCCCAGCAUGGAGCACAACAUGAGGCUCCAUCUCACAACCCUGAGAUUGUGACCUGAGCUGAAAACAAGAGUCAGAUGCUCUACUGACUGAGACACCCAGACACCUCAGAUCCCAAUAUUUCUUAAAUAAAACAUUUCUAGUUAGUUUGAAUAUACCUAAAUCUGUAUAUUAUGUAGAACUCUUGAAUUGGAAAGAAUCUAGACCAAUUUUAUUCCAGGAUAAAGAUAAAUAUAAUGGUUGGUUCAGUGUUGGUUGUGUCCUCCUAGCUGGUUAACACAAUAAAGACCCAUAUUCAGUUCUGGGUGCAUGUGCAUGACUGCAAGGGGUUAAAAAAAAAAUCUCAGGUUCUCUUAAUUCUGAGAGCAUGUGGUGGCCAGCCCAGAGCCAGAUUGAGCCAUGUUAAUUUCCCAGAAGAUUUCAAAGAAUUAUCUUUUGAAAGGGGGAAGUUUGGGCUAAUAAAAACCAGGAUAACCUCCGGCAGUCACAUGGAAAAGAAUAGAAACAAAUUACUCCUGGCUUGUUCGACAUUGCUGCCGGGGGCUUUCUCUGGCUAACCCAGACUGCUUUGUUUUUCUUUGUUGCAACGAGAGAAGUUACUAGUAAUGUCCUAGGAAAGGUAAGAGCAGCAAAGUUGUGCCAAGUGCUCAUCUGUGU
This 1270-nucleotide long non-coding RNA is filed under the name Canis lupus familiaris (dog). RNAcentral describes it as "lncRNA (ENSCAFG00030018377.1)". The record is from RNAcentral. Lineage: Eukaryota; Metazoa; Chordata; Mammalia; Carnivora; Canidae.